GACAAUGGACGAAAGUCUGAUCCAGCUAUGCCGCGUGCAGGAUGACGGCCCUACGGGUUGUAAACUGCUUUUAUACAGGAAGAAACACCCCGACGUGUCGGGGCUUGACGGUACUGUAAGAAUAAGGAUCGGCUAACUCCGUGCCAGCAGCCGCGGUAAUACGGAGGAUUCGAGCGUUAUCCGGAAUCAUUGGGUUUAAAGGGUCCGCAGGCGGUUUUUUAAGUCAGAGGUGAAAUCCUGCAGCUCAACUGUAGAAUUGCCUUUGAUACUGAAAGACUUGAGUUAUUGUGAAGUGGUUAGAAUGUGUGGUGUAGCGGUGAAAUGCAUAGAUAUCACACAGAAUACCGAUUGCGAAGGCAGAUCACUAACAAUAUACUGACGCUCAGGGACGAAAGCGUGGGUAGCGAACAGGAUUAGAUACCCUGGUAGUCCACGCCGUAAACGAUGGAUACUAGCUGUAUGUCUACUUCAGGUAGAUGUGUGGCCAAGCGAAAGUGAUAAGUAUCCCACCUGGGGAGUACGAUCGCAAGAUUGAAACUCAAAGGAAUUGACGGGGGCCCGCACAAGCGGUGGAGCAUGUGGUUUAAUUCGAUGAUACGCGAGGAACCUUACC
This 613-nucleotide ribosomal RNA is filed under the name uncultured Bacteroidota bacterium. RNAcentral's name for it is "bacterial SSU rRNA". It matches the Rfam family "Bacterial small subunit ribosomal RNA", at positions 367 to 975 of the family's 1533-position model. Lineage: Bacteria; Pseudomonadati; Bacteroidota. The record is from RNAcentral.